AGGAUAAUAGUUAAAUUAACAUUUAAUUUGCAUUUAAAAAAUACUGAAUAUCAGUUUAUCUUA
This 63-nucleotide transfer RNA is filed under the name Eriopis connexa. Its description in RNAcentral is "tRNA-Ala". Lineage: Eukaryota; Metazoa; Arthropoda; Insecta; Coleoptera; Coccinellidae. The record is from RNAcentral. RNAcentral also lists the same sequence under 2 other names.